UACGUAGGGGGCGAGCGUUGUCCGGAUUUAUUGGGCGUAAAACGCUUGUAGGUGGCUACGUCAAGUCGGACGUGAAAUCUCCCGGCUUAACUGGGAGGGGUCGCUCGAUACUGGCGAGCUCGAGGCAGGUAGGGGGAAGCGGAAUUCCCGGUGUAGUGGUGGAAUGCGUAGAUAUCGGGAAGAACACCUAUGGCGAAGGCAGCUCUCUGGGACGGUACUGACGCUGAGACGCGAAAGCGUGGGGAGCGAACAGG
Molecule: ribosomal RNA, 254 nt
Filed under: uncultured bacterium
Lineage: Bacteria
Description: partial 16S ribosomal RNA
Rfam family: Bacterial small subunit ribosomal RNA
Source: RNAcentral